GCAUAUCAAUAAGCGGAGGAAAAGAAACCAACAGGGAUUGCCUCAGUAACGGCGAGUGAAGCGGCAACAGCUCAAAUUUGAAAUCUGGCCCCCUCGGGGCCCGAGUUGUAAUUUGGAGAAGAUGCUUCGGGUGUGGCCCCGGUCUAAGUUCCUUGGAACAGGACGUCACAGAGGGUGAGAAUCCCGUACGUGACCGGUGGCCUCCCCCGUGUGAAGCUCUUUCGACGAGUCGAGUUGUUUGGGAAUGCAGCUCAAAAUGGGUGGUAAAUUUCAUCUAAAGCUAAAUAUUGGCCAGAGACCGAUAGCGCACAAGUAGAGUGAUCGAAAGAUGAAAAGCACUUUGGAAAGAGAGUUAAACAGUACGUGAAAUUGUUGAAAGGGAAGCGCUUGCAACCAGACUUGCGCGCGGCCGAUCAUCUGGUGUUCUCACCGGUGCACUCGGCCGCGCUCAGGCCAGCAUCGGUUCGGGUGGCUGGACAAAGGCCUCGGGAAUGUGGCUCUCUUCGGGGAGUGUUAUAGCCCGAGGUGCAAUGCAGCCUACCCGGACCGAGGACCGCGCUCCGGCUAGGAUGCUGGCGUAAUGGUUGUAAGCGACCCGUCUUGAAACACGGACC
RNAcentral lists this ribosomal RNA (614 nucleotides) under Oidiodendron sp. JCM 28188. RNAcentral describes it as "eukaryotic LSU rRNA". It matches the Rfam family "Eukaryotic large subunit ribosomal RNA", at positions 38 to 667 of the family's 3401-position model. RNAcentral also lists the same sequence under 2 other names. Lineage: Eukaryota; Fungi; Ascomycota; Leotiomycetes; Myxotrichaceae. The record is from RNAcentral.